Long non-coding RNA from Penaeus chinensis, 995 nucleotides. RefSeq lists it as uncharacterized. The transcript has 3 exons. NCBI's taxonomy places the organism in Eukaryota, Metazoa, Arthropoda, Malacostraca, Decapoda, Penaeidae. The record is from RefSeq and is a predicted model, not a curated record.
CGCUAGCUGCUCGCUCUCCCACGGUACUACUCGCACUCUCUCCUUUUUGAAAUACUUCUUUAUCGUAUCUAUUUAUAUAGUAUUUUUCCUCAUUGUACCAUCAGAUUGCAAUGUUGAUCGAGAUCUCUUUGUUUUUAUUUCUCGACUUUUUAAAAUGUUUUCCUUGAACCGAUCGUUAGUUGGAAUGUGCAGUUAGAUAUAUCCAUAUACCUGUUUUUGAAAUUUACAUACAUAUUCUUUUCUCUCGUUCUUUCAAUAGAAAAUGUGAGUGCAUUUUUAUUUAUUUAUUUUUUGUGUGUUUAGAGGUAUCGUUGAGUGAUGGUUGCGUGAACUGAGACAUUUUUCUGUGAGUUGUGUUGAGCGAGGCAGUUGACUGGCUCUGUUGCAAAGGUAAACACUCACGGCUUGCUGCUUUCCUGAAAUACAGUGCAGAUCGUUUUUAUCCUUUCCUUAGUGAAGAUCAUCAUUUUUUUAACCCUCUUCCUGGCUGAACCUUUUGAUUUUUACUCAAAGGAAGAAUCGCAUUUUGUUCUCUUCCUGUCCCCCCCCCCCCCCCCCCUUUUACGUAUUUUUGACUAGUUAUGUGAAUCCUGUGUGGAUCUUUUCUGUGAGUGGUUUGGCAUCUGGACAAGGAAGAGAGAGGUGGACAUUCAACGAAACGAAGAUGAGAGAAAAAAAAAGUCGUACCACUGUGAGCGCGUGUAAAGAAGCCUAGUGUUAUUGAACGCAGAGACAGAACGCAGCCUUUUUGACUCGUGUAAGUGAGAACAAACAGAACAUCAUUCAUAUUUGAUUCCGAGCGGCCUGCAGCUCACCGCUCUAAGGAUUUGGCGAAUCAGAGUUCUCCGGAGUCUAGAGAUGAGGGAUGGUGUCCUAUCACGGUCAGAUCUGCAUAACACAAUCAACAUUCAUCUUCCACGGACAGAGGGACGUGAACUUUGUGUUAUAAUGAAUGGAAAAUGAUUGACGAGCCAUGUCAAUAGUGAAGGGAAAAG